This is a non-coding RNA of Podarcis lilfordi (Lilford's wall lizard), 1340 nucleotides long. The record is from the annotation of a GenBank genome assembly. Lineage: Eukaryota; Metazoa; Chordata; Lepidosauria; Squamata; Lacertidae.
CCAGAGUCGUCCGUGACUGGACCUAAUGCUCAGGGGUCCAUUUACCUUUAAAUCUGACCUAAAGAAUUAACAUAUGCAAAUUUAGAUGCUAAGUACAAGAUAUUCAACACCUCAAUGAGAUGCAUCCCCACAAUAGGAAGGUGAUUUGAAGCCAGAUCACAGACAGAGAUGGCCAGUCUUACUAUCCAAACUCUUUCACCCUUUUGUUAAGCAAGCACGAUGGCCAGCUUUAGUCAUUUUUCACUAAGGUGGCUGGGGCAAGGAUUAGGCAGGAAAUUCCGGAAGUAACUAUGGGAAUUGUAGAAACCACUCAUUUCACAGCUGUCUCCCCUCUCCCCUGGCAUGCCUUGGCAAAAGGUGUAUAAAUCCAGGGCCGUCUUAAGCAUAGCCAGCACUGUGGUACAAAGAUCCCUCAGGCGCCCCCCCUCCCAUUUCCCAGAGUUGUUGUCAACCUUUCCCCAAGCCUCUGCGGAGAUCGCUCUCCUCCUGCGGAGGCUUGGGAGGCAAGCUGCACGCCCGCCAGUCAUAUGGUUGACAGGGCACAGCUGGUGGGUGUGCAGGGAAAGGGGAGGCCGCCGGCAAAGCCGCGCAGCUCCCCCACUUGCUGGGGUGCCCCUGAGAGGCCAGCGCCCUGGCGCAACAGGCCAGUAACCCCAAUGGGAAAGACGGCUCUGUAUAAAUCUCUUAAAUUCAAAGGUUAGUUAGCUCUUCUAGCUGCAACAGGAGAGCACUUACCCAGGGCUCCCCAGGGCUCUGCGCAAAUCUGCUUCGUUUUGCGGACAGGUAUUCUUCCCUCUGCCUUUUCUCUACUUGUAGUUUAUGCCCACAUUUCUGUAGCCUCUUAGAAGAGUUAGGGAAUCUUCUACUCUUUUAUCAAGGUGUGCAUGUAUUGUAAUUUGCUACCUGCUUAGACUGUAACUCUGCUGUCUAAAGCAGCAUUUUAUGUAUUCUGUCACUCAUAUUUUCUAUAAUAAACCAAGCUUUCUUUGUUUCUUUGUGCAAGAGCUUCUUGAGGGCAUAAGGUUAACACACAACCAUAACAAGCGCAUAUCAUAAGUCCAGCAAAAGAUCCUAGACCCCUUAAUCUUGUGUAUAGGAACAUACAUAAGAGCUGGCUGAGCACAUGGCAGUCCAGGUCCACACUCAUAGCAGUUCCUGCCAAGAGGCAUUUCCUGUUCUGUGUGUGUUUGUGAGAGGUAAGAGUGUUUGUGGGAGAAAAGGAAUGCUUCUUCUCAGAUGGCACCUGCCACCUACAGCUUGUGUAGGCACUUGUAUUAGAAAUAUUUAUUUAUUUUUAAAACUUCUCCAUGUUUACUAGGAUGGCACUCCUUUAAAUAGUC